Molecule: ribosomal RNA, 433 nt
Filed under: uncultured bacterium
Lineage: Bacteria
Description: partial 16S ribosomal RNA
Rfam family: Bacterial small subunit ribosomal RNA
Source: RNAcentral
AACGAACGCUGGCGGCAUGCCUAACACAUGCAAGUCGAACGAGACCUUCGGGGCUAGUGGCGCACGGGUGCGUAACGCGUGGGAACCUGCCCUUAGGUUCGGAAUAACUCCCCGAAAGGGGUGCUAAUACCGGAUAAUGUCUUCGGACCAAAGAUUUAUCGCCUUUGGAUGGGCCCGCGUUGGGUUAGUUAGUUGGUAGGGUAAAAGCCUACCAAGGCGACGAUCCAUAGCUGGUCUGAGAGGAUGAUCAGCCACACUGGGACUGCGACACGGCCCAGAAUCCUACGGGAGGCAGCAGUGGGGAAUAUUGGACACUGGGCGAAAGCCUGAUCCAGCCAUGCCGCGUGAGUGAUGAAGGCCUUAGGGUUGUACAGCUCUUUUAGCCGGGAUGAUAAUGACAGUACCGGGAGAAUAAGCUCCGGCUAACUCCGUG